AACGAACCUUUACAGUAGGUCUACUGCAAAAGAAAUCAAUUAAAAAAAUCUCUUGUAGGAGUGAUGAUGUGCUCUGGUGGUGGACAACCCAUAUCUCUUCCUAAAACAAAUGAUAACCAAUGUCCAACAUAUUUUCGCCCUCCUCAACU
This is a non-coding RNA of Caenorhabditis elegans, 149 nucleotides long. NCBI's taxonomy places the organism in Eukaryota, Metazoa, Nematoda, Chromadorea, Rhabditida, Rhabditidae. The record is from Ensembl.